RNAcentral lists this ribosomal RNA (374 nucleotides) under Ostreococcus sp. RNAcentral's name for it is "partial small subunit ribosomal RNA". It matches the Rfam family "Eukaryotic small subunit ribosomal RNA", at positions 582 to 975 of the family's 1831-position model. Lineage: Eukaryota; Viridiplantae; Chlorophyta; Mamiellophyceae; Mamiellales; Bathycoccaceae. The record is from RNAcentral.
AUUCCAGCUCCAAUAGCGUAUAUUUAAGUUGUUGCAGUUAAAAAGCUCGUAGUCGGACUUUGGCUGAGAACGGUCGGUCCGCCGUUAGGUGUGCACUGACUGGUCUCAGCUUCCUGGUGAGGAGGUGUGCUUCACGGCCACUUAGUCACCGUGGUUACUUUGAAAAAAUUAGAGUGUUCAAAGCGGGCUUACGCUUGAAUAUAUUAGCAUGGAAUAACACCAUAGGACUCCUGUCCUAUUUCGUUGGUCUCGGGACGGGAGUAAUGAUUAAGAGGAACAGUUGGGGGCAUUCGUAUUUCAUUGUCAGAGGUGAAAUUCUUGGAUUUAUGAAAGACGAACUUCUGCGAAAGCAUUUGCCAAGGAUGUUUUCAUCA